GCCCAGAUAGCUCAGUCGGUAGAGCAAAGGACUGAAAAUCCUUGUGUCGGUGGUUCGAUCCCACCUCUGGGCACCA
RNAcentral lists this transfer RNA (76 nucleotides) under bacterium. RNAcentral's name for it is "tRNA-Phe". It matches the Rfam family "tRNA". From Rfam's summary of the family: Transfer RNA (tRNA) molecules are approximately 80 nucleotides in length. The record is from RNAcentral. RNAcentral also lists the same sequence under 2 other names.